This 981-nucleotide ribosomal RNA is filed under the name Salmonella enterica. RNAcentral's name for it is "partial 23S ribosomal RNA". It matches the Rfam family "Bacterial large subunit ribosomal RNA", at positions 1190 to 2141 of the family's 2925-position model. The record is from RNAcentral. Lineage: Bacteria; Pseudomonadati; Pseudomonadota; Gammaproteobacteria; Enterobacterales; Enterobacteriaceae.
GACGUCAAAGCGUAUACAAAGUCGAGUCGGUUUAAGGAUACGUUCGUUGGGUAGGGGAGCGUUCUGUAAGCCUGUGAAGGUGGCCUGUGAGGGUUGCUGGAGGUAUCAGAAGUGCGAAUGCUGACAUAAGUAACGAUAAAGCGGGUGAAAAGCCCGCUCGCCGGAAGACCAAGGGUUCCUGUCCAACGUUAAUCGGGGCAGGGUGAGUCGACCCCUAAGGCGAGGCCGAAAGGCGUAGUCGAUGGGAAACGGGUUAAUAUUCCCGUACUUGGUGUUACUGCGAAGGGGGGACGGAGAAGGCUAUGUUGGCCGGGCGACGGUUGUCCCGGUUUAAGCGUGUAGGUGUGUGUUCCAGGUAAAUCCGGUUCACUUUAACACUGAGGCGUGACGACGAGGCACUACGGUGCUGAAGCAACAAAUGCCCUGCUUCCAGGAAAAGCCUCUAAGCAUCAGGUAACAUCAAAUCGUACCCCAAACCGACACAGGUGGUCAGGUAGAGAAUACCAAGGCGCUUGAGAGAACUCGGGUGAAGGAACUAGGCAAAAUGGUGCCGUAACUUCGGGAGAAGGCACGCUGACACGUAGGUGAAGUGAUUUACUCAUGGAGCUGAAGUCAGUCGAAGAUACCAGCUGGCUGCAACUGUUUAUUAAAAACACAGCACUGUGCAAACACGAAAGUGGACGUAUACGGUGUGACGCCUGCCCGGUGCCGGAAGGUUAAUUGAUGGGGUCAGCGCAAGCGAAGCUCCUGAUCGAAGCCCCGGUAAACGGCGGCCGUAACUAUAACGGUCCUAAGGUAGCGAAAUUCCUUGUCGGGUAAGUUCCGACCUGCACGAAUGGCGUAAUGAUGGCCAGGCUGUCUCCACCCGAGACUCAGUGAAAUUGAACUCGCUGUGAAGAUGCAGUGUACCCGCGGCAAGACGGAAAGACCCCGUGAACCUUUACUAUAGCUUGACACUGAACAUUGAGCCUUGAUGUGUAG